UGGGGAAUAUUGGGCAAUGGGCGAAAGCCUGACCCAGCGACGCCGCGUGAGGGAAGAAGGUCUUCGGAUUGUAAACCUCUUUCAGCAAGGAAGAAGAAAGUGACGGUACUUGCAGAAGAAGCCACGGCUAACUACGUGCCAGCAGCCGCGGUAAUACGUAGGUGGCGAGCGUUAUCCGGAAUUACUGGGUGUAAAGGGUGUGUAGGCGGGGAGCCAAGUCAGAUGUGAAAAUUAUGGGCUCAACCCAUAACUUGCGUCUGAAACUGGUUUUCUUGAGAGUGGGAGAGGUAAACGGAAUUCCUGGUGUAGCGGUGAAAUGCGUAGAUAUCAGGAGGAACACCGGUGGCGAAGGCGGUUUACUGGACCACAACUGACGCUGAGACACGAAAGCGUGGGGAGCAAACAGGAUUAGAUACCCUGGUA
RNAcentral lists this ribosomal RNA (423 nucleotides) under uncultured bacterium. RNAcentral describes it as "bacterial SSU rRNA". It matches the Rfam family "Bacterial small subunit ribosomal RNA", at positions 355 to 792 of the family's 1533-position model. The record is from RNAcentral.